RNAcentral lists this long non-coding RNA (534 nucleotides) under Medicago truncatula (barrel medic). RNAcentral's name for it is "lncRNA gene41478". The record is from RNAcentral. Lineage: Eukaryota; Viridiplantae; Streptophyta; Magnoliopsida; Fabales; Fabaceae.
AAGGGCUUUGUCUCAUUACACACAUGCAUAUGGUACAUAGUUAUAAUGAAACUUGCUCAUUCAUCUAACAUUGUAUACAAUAUUCAUUGUAAUCAUCGCAACUACACUGUUUAGGUUGUUUACAAGUACACUUUUUGCAGGUUGAUUCGCAGGUUUCUGCAAUAUCUACACAUUGGCAUGAAAAAGGAAUCCCUGGACUAAUGUACCAUAAAACAUCAUUACAGCACCUGGUGGUUGUCGAGUUGGCAUGGUUGUUCAUCAAGCUUAAGAGGAAAAGCAACAUAAUCAUUGCAUUCUUGUUCAUCAGGCUCAUUAUAUCUUUCUGCUUAAUAUCUCUAAUUUCUUUGCUUUGUGAAAAGCCAAUCAUGUAUGGCUCUAUUUAUAAUGGAGUGUGAUAAGGGUUUUGUUUUUCAAUUCUUGUGAAGAGCCAAUUAAUCAUGUAUAACUCUAUUUAUAAUGGAGUGUAAUAAGGGUUAAGGGUCUUUGAAUCGAAUAAAAUAGAAUGAUAAUGCUAUUUUUAUACAAGUUUCGUCU